This 459-nucleotide ribosomal RNA is filed under the name uncultured bacterium. RNAcentral describes it as "SSU rRNA". It matches the Rfam family "Bacterial small subunit ribosomal RNA", at positions 26 to 518 of the family's 1533-position model. The record is from RNAcentral.
AGAAUCAACGCUGGCGGCGUGCCUAACACAUGCAAGUCGCACGAGAAAGGGUAGCAAUACCUGAGUAAAGUGGCGCACGGGUGAGUAACACGUGAAUUAUCUACCUCCGAGUGGGGAAUAACUGAGAGAAAUCUUAGCUAAUACCGCAUAACACUUACGAGUCAAAGCAGCAAUGCGCUUGGAGAGGAGUUCGCGGCAGAUUAGUUAGUUGGCGGGGUAAUGGCCCACCAAGACGAUGAUCUGUAUCCGGCCUGAGAGGGCGCACGGACACACUGGAACUGAAACACGGUCCAGACUCCUACGGGAGGCAGCAGUGGGGAAUUUUGCGCAAUGGGGGAAACCCUGACGCAGCAACGCCGCGUGGAGGAUGAAAUAUCUUGGUAUGUAAACUCCUUUCGAUGGGGAAGAUUAUGACGGUACCCAUAGAAGAAGCCCGGCUAACUUCGCGCCAGCAGCCGC